Molecule: ribosomal RNA, 326 nt
Filed under: uncultured Bacteroidota bacterium
Lineage: Bacteria; Pseudomonadati; Bacteroidota
Description: bacterial SSU rRNA
Rfam family: Bacterial small subunit ribosomal RNA
Source: RNAcentral
GAUGAACGCUAGCGGCAGGCCUAACACAUGCAAGUCGAGGGGUAACAGGAGUAGCAAUACUUGCUGACGACCGGCGCACGGGUGAGUAACGCGUAUGCAACCUACCCAUAACAGGGGGAUAGCCCGGAGAAAUUCGGAUUAAUACCGCAUAAAAUUAUCGGAUCGCAUGGUUUGAUGAUUAAAUUCACGGAGGUUAUGGAUGGGCAUGCGUGACAUUAGCUAGUUGGUAGGGUAACGGCCUACCAAGGCUACGAUGUCUAGGGGGCCUGAGAGGGUAGUCCCCCACACUGGUACUGAGACACGGACCAGACUCCUACGGGAGGCAG